GACGAACGCUGGCGGCGUGCUUAACACAUGCAAGUCAAGGGGGCCCAGCAAUGGGCAACCGGCGAACGGGUGCGUAACACGUGAGCAACCUACCGAACUGUGGGGGAUACGCCGGCCUAACGGCCGAGUAAUACCGCAUACGCUUUCAGUGAGGCAUUUCAUUGAAAGGAAACCCUACGGGACAGAUCGAGGGGCUCGCGGCCUAUCAGCUAGUUGGCGAGGUAACGGCUCACCAAGGCCAACGACGGGUAGCUGGUCUGAGAGGAUGGCCAGCCACAUUGGGACUGAGAUACGGCCCAGACUCCUACGGGAGGCCAGCAGUGGGGAAUCUUGCGCAAUGGCCUAACGGCUGACGCAGCGACGCCGCGUCGUGGGAUGAAGCUC
Molecule: ribosomal RNA, 384 nt
Filed under: uncultured bacterium
Lineage: Bacteria
Description: bacterial SSU rRNA
Rfam family: Bacterial small subunit ribosomal RNA
Source: RNAcentral